GUGGGGAAUUGUUCGCAAUGGGCGCAAGCCUGACGACGCAACGCCGCGUGGAGGAUGAAGAUUCUCGGAUCGUAAACUCCUGUCGAGCGGGACGAACGGCUCGCGACUGAACAGGUCGCGGGAGUGACGGUACCGCUAAAGGAAGCCCCGGCUAACUCCGUGCCAGCAGCCGCGGUAAUACGGGGGGGGCAAGCGUUGUUCGGAAUUACUGGGCGUAAAGGGCUCGUAGGCGGCCGGCUUAGUCAGACGUGAAAUCCCUCGGCUCAACCGGGGAACUGCGUCUGAUACUGGCUGGCUAGAAUCCGGGAGAGGGAUGCGGAAUUCCAGGUGUAGCGGUGAAAUGCGUAGAUAUCUGGAGGAACACCGGUGGCGAAGGCGGCAUCCUGGACCGGUUUUGACGCUGAGGAGCGAAAGCCAGGGGAGCAAACGGGAUUAGAAACCCCGGUAGUCC
Molecule: ribosomal RNA, 451 nt
Filed under: uncultured bacterium
Lineage: Bacteria
Description: bacterial SSU rRNA
Rfam family: Bacterial small subunit ribosomal RNA
Source: RNAcentral